This 93-nucleotide transfer RNA is filed under the name Vicia faba (fava bean). Its description in RNAcentral is "tRNA-Ser". It matches the Rfam family "tRNA". From Rfam's summary of the family: Transfer RNA (tRNA) molecules are approximately 80 nucleotides in length. Their secondary structure includes four short double-helical elements and three loops (D, anti-codon, and T loops). Further hydrogen bonds mediate the characteristic L-shaped molecular structure. tRNAs have two regions of fundamental functional importance: the anti-codon, which is responsible for specific mRNA codon recognition, and the 3' end, to which the tRNAs corresponding amino acid is attached (by aminoacyl-tRNA synthetases). tRNAs cope with the degeneracy of the genetic code in two manners: having more than one tRNA (with a specific anti-codon) for a particular amino acid; and 'wobble' base-pairing, i.e. permitting non-standard base-pairing at the 3rd anti-codon position. The record is from RNAcentral. Lineage: Eukaryota; Viridiplantae; Streptophyta; Magnoliopsida; Fabales; Fabaceae.
GGAGAGAUGGCUGAGUGGUUGAUAGCUCCGGUCUUGAAAACCGGUAUAGUUUGAAACAAAUAACUAUCGAGGGUUCGAAUCCCCCUCUCUCCU